RNAcentral lists this unclassified non-coding RNA (206 nucleotides) under rhizosphere metagenome. Its description in RNAcentral is "partial ribosomal RNA internal transcribed spacer region". The record is from RNAcentral.
GUAGGUGAACCUGCGGAGGGAUCAUUACCGAGCGAGGGCCUUCGGGUCCGACCUCUCAACCCCAUGUGACCCGACACUGUUGCCUCGGGGGCGACCCGGCCCUUUGGGCGAUCGGGGCCCCCGGUGGACAUCUCAAACACUGCAUCUGUGCGUCCGAGUACAUGAUAAAUCAAUCAAAACUUUCAACAACGGAUCUCUUGGUUCUG